AACGAACGCUGGCGGCACGCCUAACACAUGCAAGUCGCACGAGAAAGUUCCCGCAAGGGGACCGGUAAAGUGGCAGACGGGUGAGUAACGCGUGGGUAACCUACCCUCGAGUGGGGGAUAACCCCGCGAAAGCGGGGCUAAUACCGCAUAACAUCCCGGAACGCGAGUUUUCGGGAUCGAAGGUGGCUCGCAAGAGCUACCGCUCGGGGAGGGGCUCACGUUCCAUCAGCUAGUUGGUGGGGUAACGCCUACCAAGGCGACGAUCGGUAGCUGGUCUGAGAGGACGACCAGCCACACUGGGACUGAGACACGGCCCAGACUCCUACGGGAGGCAGCAGUGGGGAAUAUUGGACAAUGGGCGAAAGCCUGAUCCAGCGAUGCCGCGUGUGUGAAGGAAGGCCUGC
RNAcentral lists this ribosomal RNA (404 nucleotides) under uncultured bacterium. RNAcentral's name for it is "bacterial SSU rRNA". It matches the Rfam family "Bacterial small subunit ribosomal RNA", at positions 29 to 419 of the family's 1533-position model. The record is from RNAcentral.